Molecule: ribosomal RNA, 868 nt
Filed under: uncultured Bacteroidota bacterium
Lineage: Bacteria; Pseudomonadati; Bacteroidota
Description: bacterial SSU rRNA
Rfam family: Bacterial small subunit ribosomal RNA
Source: RNAcentral
GAUGAACGCUAGCGGCAGGCCUAACACAUGCAAGUCGAGGGGUAAUUUUCCCGAGCAAUCGGGAAGAACGACCGGCGCACGGGUGAGUAACGCGUAUGCAACCUACCUUUAACUGGGGAAUAGCCCGAAGAAAUUCGGAUUAAUACGCCAAAUAUUUUGGAAUCACAUGGUUUCAUAAUUAAAGUUCCAACGGUUAGAGAUGGGCAUGCGUGACAUUAGUUAGUUGGUGAGGUAACGGCUCACCAAGACGAUGAUGUCUAGGGGGUCUGAGAGGAUGGUCCCCCACACUGGUACUGAGACACGGACCAGACUCCUACGGGAGGCAGCAGUGAGGAAUAUUGGGCAAUGGACGCAAGUCUGACCCAGCCAUGUCGCGUGCAGGAUGACAGCCUUAUGGGUUGUAAACUGCUUUUAUGCAGGAAGAAACCCCCCGAUGUAUCGGGGGCUGACGGUACUGUAUGAAUAAGCAUCGGCUAACUCCGUGCCAGCAGCCGCGGUAAUACGGAGGAUGCAAGCGUUAUCCGGAUUUAUUGGGUUUAAAGGGUGCGUAGGCGGGAGAUUAAGUCAGUAGUGAAAUCCUGCAGCUUAACUGCAGAACUGCUAUUGAUAGUGGUUUCCUUGAGUACAGUUGAGGUGGGCGGAAUGUGUAGUGUAGCGGUGAAAUGCUUAGAUAUUACACAGAACACCAAUUGCGUAGGCAGCUCACUAAACUGUUACUGACGCUGAGGCACGAAAGCGUGGGGAGCAAACAGGAUUAGAUACCCUGGUAGUCCACGCUGUAAACGAUGAUCACUCGUUGUUGGCGAUAUACAGUCAGCGACUAAGCGAAAGCAUUAAGUGAUCCACCUGGGGAGACGAUCGCAAGAUU